This 245-nucleotide ribosomal RNA is filed under the name uncultured Ruminococcus sp. RNAcentral's name for it is "partial 16S ribosomal RNA". It matches the Rfam family "Bacterial small subunit ribosomal RNA", at positions 524 to 768 of the family's 1533-position model. The record is from RNAcentral. Lineage: Bacteria; Bacillati; Bacillota; Clostridia; Eubacteriales; Oscillospiraceae.
UACGUAGGGAGCGAGCGUUGUCCGGAAUUACUGGGUGUAAAGGGAGCGCAGGCGGGACUGCAAGUCAGAUGUGAAAUUUACGGGCUCAACCUGUAACGUGCAUUUGAAACUGUGGUUCUUGAGUGAAGCAGAGGUAAGCGGAAUUCCUGGUGUAGCGGUGAAAUGCGUAGAUAUCAGGAGGAACAUCGGUGGCGAAGGCGGCUUACUGGGCUUUAACUGACGCUGAGGCUCGAAAGCGUGGGGAG